RNAcentral lists this ribosomal RNA (464 nucleotides) under Metaphire cf. campanulata ADN-2019. RNAcentral's name for it is "partial large subunit ribosomal RNA". It matches the Rfam family "Bacterial large subunit ribosomal RNA", at positions 1897 to 2602 of the family's 2925-position model. The record is from RNAcentral. Lineage: Eukaryota; Metazoa; Annelida; Clitellata; Crassiclitellata; Megascolecidae.
GACGGAUACCUGCCCGAUGACAUGUUCAGCGGACGCGGCAUCCUAACCGUGCCAAGGUAACAUAAUCACUUGCCUAUUAAUUGUAGGCUAGAACGAAAGGGUUAACGAAAUAAGGACUGUCUCAAUUAACCACCUAAAAAUUAUUCUCUACCUGAAGAAACGUAGAUGCACUCGAAAGACAAGAAGACCCUAUAAAGCUUUAUUCUUAUUAUUGGAUUAUACUAUCACUAUCUUCGGUUGGGGCGACCCAGGGCUUAUAAAUCACCCACCGCGCUUAAGAUAAAUAAAUCAAGUAAAUGACCCUACAAAGAUCAUUAAACCAAGCUACCUUAGGGAUAACAGGCUAAUCCCACUCAAGAGUCCUUAUCAACAGUGGGGUUUGGCACCUCGAUGUUGGCUUAGGGUAUCUAUACAGCGCAAAAGCUGAAUAAAGAUGGUUUGUUCAACCAAUAAUUCCCUACGUU